Long non-coding RNA from Haliotis rubra (blacklip abalone), 437 nucleotides. RefSeq lists it as uncharacterized. Lineage: Eukaryota; Metazoa; Mollusca; Gastropoda; Lepetellida; Haliotidae. The transcript has 2 exons. The record is from RefSeq and is a predicted model, not a curated record.
AUUACUUUUAACAACAGGUCAUCAAAUGUUGUGCAGUUUUGCACAACAUAUGCAAGCUGCGAAGUAUCCCCUUGCCUGAUGGUGAGUCGAUUGACCCAGAUGACGACGACCAACCACAGGUUGUACCACAGUUGUCUGGACAUAACCUGAUUUACAGGGAUCACUUUGCCAACACUCACUUCUAAAUUCAUCACAUUCAAGGCAUGGUUCAAGAUUGGAUCUCCUUGCUGGGGGAGCACAUCUUCCACUACUUGGUGCCGCAGUGACUGUGUGUAUGGCCUUGACAGUGGGAACUGCUGCAUCACUUGGAUUGCUUGGAGUAACCGCCACAUCUGCCACACUGGUGACCAUUUCCAGGCACCCUCCCACUGCUGUCAUUGCCUGGAUGUCUAAAAAUGACAUGGCAUCACUGAAAUUUAAAUAAACUAUAAUCAGUU